GGUAAACCCCACCCGGAGCAAGGCCAAAUAGGGAAGCGCCCGAGGGCUGCUCGUCCGAUGCUUCCGGGUAGGCCGCUCGAGGCCGCGGGCAACCGUGGUCCUAGAUGAAUGGCCGCGGCCCCGCCUUCGGCGGGGUACAGAACCCGGCUUACAGACCCCCUUCGGCU
Molecule: RNase P RNA, 167 nt
Filed under: Nitrospinota bacterium
Lineage: Bacteria; Pseudomonadati; Nitrospinota
Description: partial RNase P RNA component class A
Rfam family: Bacterial RNase P class A
About the family: Ribonuclease P (RNase P) is a ubiquitous endoribonuclease, found in archaea, bacteria and eukarya as well as chloroplasts and mitochondria. Its best characterised activity is the generation of mature 5'-ends of tRNAs by cleaving the 5'-leader elements of precursor-tRNAs. Cellular RNase Ps are ribonucleoproteins.
Source: RNAcentral